GUAGACUCAGAGAAAACUUGCGAAGUUUAGGAUGGAGCUGAAGAGACUGGGUUCCGUCCUACGAUAAGGCAAAGGCACACCAUGAUGAGAAGUACCAGGACAGGCAGGAUCACAGCCAGAGCCACUGCUGAGGGGGAGAGACUCCCCACAGAUGGGGCUGAAACAGAAACCACCAACGACUGACCUCAGGGAGAUGUCUAAGAGCUUCUGGCAUGCCUCAGAUGGCAGGCGGCUCCAGCACAUCCCAACACUCUCCAUCACCUCUAGGGAGAGAGCUCCGGCCAAGAGGCUCUUUGCUUCUCUGAUAACUCAAGCCCUGGAUAGCAUUAAAGAUAACUGAGGCUGGGAACGGUGGCUCACGCCUGUAAUACCAGCACUUUGGGAGGCAGAGGCAGGAGGAUCAUCUGAGAUCAGGAGUUCAAGACCAGCUGGCCAAUGUGGGGAAACUCCGUGUCUACUAAAAAUACAAAAAUUAGCCAGGUGUGGUGGCGGGCACCUGUAAUCCCAGCUCUUCAGGAGGCUGAGGCAGGAGAAUCCCUUGAACCCGGGAGGCAGAGGUUGCAGUGAGCCAAGGUCACACCAUUGUACUCCAGCCUGGGUGACAAGAGUGAAACUCCAUCUCAAAAACAAACAAACAAACAAACAAACAAAAACUGAGAUGUUCCUCUCUCGGGAAUGGUUUGGAUGGUCCUGCCUCAAGAUGAUGACUUAAACAAACUUCUUGACCACAAUCUCAUCCUGCCCUAUAAUUCAAUGGAAAAAUAAGCCCGGGACUUCAGAGGACUGAAGGCACUCUCCUCACUACACACCUCCAGUCUUCCCAGGAGCACCUGCCUGUUUACCCCUGUCAAUCCUCACUCUGCUCUAGAAGAGCAGGCAGCAACCUCUUUGCCCUGAGCACUGUCCACGGGGGCAAAGCAAUUUCUAUGAUGCCGCAGCAGUAGGCCUGAAGCCUAGGCAGGAGAGAAAGGGGAAAAGAAAGAGGAAAUAGAGGAGAGGAAACGAGCAGAAGCGGGCUAUGGGUAGAAGUAGUUAAGAGCCUAAGCUGGGAGUAUGUCCUUGCUCAAUGCUGUGUGACCCAAAGCAGGAGACUGAGCACCUCCCAGCCCAUUGUCCCUCAUCUGUAAAAUGUGUGCAUGACAGGACUCCUUAUCUCUUUGAGGUUUGGAGAGAUUUAAAGAGGUCAGUCAUAUAAAGCAUUCAGUCUCCUAAGUAGCCGGGAUUACAGGCACAUGCCACCAUGCCUGGCUAGUUUUUGUAUUUUUUUGGUAGAGACAAGGUUUUGCCAUGUUGGCCAGGCUGGUCUCCAGUUCGUUUCAAGGAUCAUUAAAAGGUUCAGGCCAGGUGUGGUGACUCACACCUGUAAUCCUAGCACUUUGGGAGGCUGAAGCAGGAGUAUCACUACAGCUCAGGAGUUUCAGACCAGCCUGGGCAGCAUGGUGAGAGCUCAUCUUUAUUAUAAAUAAAAAAGAAAAAAUAAGUAAAAGGUUUGAACCCUUGGACCCAUUAAUUCUACUGCCAGAAGUACAUUAUUAAAAAAAAAAUCAAAAUCACUUUCCAAAAUACGUUCAAAGAUGUUCAUUGCACCCUUCAUUAUAAUAUGAGGAAAAUUUGGAAAGCAUCCAGAUGCCCAGAAACAGGGCUUUGAUUAAUUUUAUUAUUCUAUAGCCACAUGGCAAAAUACUAUGCAGCCCUUAAAAUCAUAUUACUUAGGGACAUGGGCAAAGAAAACAAAUGCUCAUGAUAUCAUAAGUGGAAAAAUAUCCUGGGCACAAGAAUACACAUGUGUAAACAUACAUGCUCAGAGAUACAUAUAUACAAAAAAGUCUUGCAAGAAAGAUACAAAAAUGUUAGCAGCAGUUCUCUCUAAUUUAAGCUAUUAUAGGCCAUUUUUCAGUUUCCUUUAAAUAUUUUGGAUUUUUUUCAAAUUUUCUACAAUAUAUAUGCUUUAUUCUUAGAAUUUAAAAAAAUUGAAAAUUCCUCAAAAAGUUCCUGCUAGGGUAGGAAUUUCCUCAGGAACCACCAGCGCCUUCAAACCUGUUUCCACCCCAGCUUUUACUUGUUAUGACCACAGCUGUGGUCUUCUCUUGGCCAAGGGCCAUGUUGUGGAUGGUUCAGGACACAUUCCCCAGUGUGCUGUCCCUGACUCUGCUAGACACUGCUAUUUGGAAGAGCCCAGCUUUUUCCAGAGAGUGGGCCUCUGACAGGGAUGGAAGUACCCUGCCUUGAGGUUCUCUCCACUUGGCCCAGGGCUCUGGGAACCAUCCCACCUAUCUGCACACCAGCAGGGCCUCUGCCAGGGUAUGGUCCUGGCCAUGGCCCUCUUCCCCCAUAGCCUCCUGUGAUGAACAGGGGCAGCUGUUAAUGGAACUUGUCCUCUCUCCACUCUCUCCCCACGCUCCUCCUAAUGGGAUAAGCCAGUCUCUAGCUUUAUUCUCAGACAUUUAAAAAUUCACCCAUAGCAAUAACUGUAUCACAUGAUUCAGAUUCCUGUGGGCACCUCGGUCCCCUUUUAAAAAUUACUUUUCAGCUGGGCAUGGUGGCUCAUGCCUGUAAUUCCAGCACUUUGGGAGGCUGAGGUGGGAGGAUCACCUGAGGUCGGGAGAUUGAGAUCAGCCUGACCAACAUGAAGAAACCCCGUCUCUACUAAAAAUACAAAAAUUAGCCGGGCGUGGUGGCACAUGCCUGUAAUCCAGCUACUCGGGAGGCUGAGGCAGGAGAAUCACUUGAACCUGGGAGGCGGAGGUUGUGGUGAGCCCAGAUAGCAUCAUUGCACUCCAGCCUGGGCAACAAGAGUGAAACUCCAUCUCCAAAAAAAAGAAAAAAGAAAAAAAAAUUAGUUGGCCAUGGUGGCGGGCACCAGUAAUCCCAGCUAACUCAGGAGGCUGAGGCAGGAGAAUCACCUGAACCCAGGAGGCGAAGUUGCAGUGAGCCAAGAUUGCACCAAUGCACUCCAGCCUGGGCAACAAGAGCAACACUCCAUCUCAAAAAAAAAAAAAAAAAAAAAAAAAAAAAUUAAUUUUCACCCCAAAGGACUCCAAUUUGGAAAGUCUGUCUACCAACUACUGAGUGUUUUAAAGUAAUUGAUUCAUCCCCACUUCAUGGUGUGUGACUUCAAAUUAUGACCAAAAGAUAAUCAGCAUGUGACCAUGUGAAGCCAGUGUCAUUCAAGCAAAUGCAAAGACAUGGUUUGGGUUGGGUUGAGUUGGGUUUGGUUUGGUAGACUGAUUUUUUAAAAUAUUAGUAGACUGAUUUUUGUGGA
This 3262-nucleotide long non-coding RNA is filed under the name Homo sapiens (human). RNAcentral describes it as "HSALNT0291782". Lineage: Eukaryota; Metazoa; Chordata; Mammalia; Primates; Hominidae. The record is from RNAcentral.